This is a non-coding RNA of Nanorana parkeri, 753 nucleotides long. NCBI's taxonomy places the organism in Eukaryota, Metazoa, Chordata, Amphibia, Anura, Dicroglossidae. The record is from the annotation of a RefSeq genome assembly.
UGUAUCUGACACUCCACAAACAUCAAGAUGCUUUCUCACAGUUAUCUGCUGGCCGUCAUCUUCAUUUCUAUUCAGGGAUCCUGUGGACAGACUGUGAUGACUCAGACUCCGGAUUCUAUCGCUGUGUCCCCGGGACAGGCAGUCACCAUCACAUGUACAUCCAGUGCUAAAAUUUAUGAUGCCUUAGCCUGGUACCAACAGAAAUCAGGAAAGUCUCCAACACUUCUCAUACAUAGUGCAACCACCCGACACACAGGAGUCCCAGACCGGUUCACUGGCAAGGGUGAUGGAUUUUCUUAUAUUCGUUACACUCUGACAAUUACUGCCGUGACUGAAGAUGAUGAAGGAAGUUAUUACUGUCAGCAGUAUGCUAGCAGCUAUCCUCGGACUUUUGGUGGCGGAACAUUUGUAGAGAUUAAACGAAGAGAAGAUGCCAAACCUUCUGUAUCUAUCUACCCUGCUGCAUUAGAGCAGACCAAGUCAGGAACAGCAAGUGUUGUCUGUUUGGUUCAACAGUUCUAUCCAGGAGAUGCCAAGGUCACAUGGAAAGUGGACAACAGUAUCAUAACCGACGGUGUUCUAAACAGUGACAACGUCAAGGAUACCAAAGAUAACACUUACAGUAAAAGCAGCACACUGACUAUGACCAGUGCUCAGUAUAAAAGUCAUGACCUCUACAGUUGUGAGGUCACACAUAAAACACUGGCGUCAGCACUGGUCACAAGUUUCAAGGCUUCAGAAUGUAAUGUUUAG